Molecule: ribosomal RNA, 252 nt
Filed under: uncultured bacterium
Lineage: Bacteria
Description: partial 16S ribosomal RNA
Rfam family: Bacterial small subunit ribosomal RNA
Source: RNAcentral
UACAGAGGGGGCAAGCGUUGUUCGGAAUUACUGGGCGUAAAGGGCGCGUAGGCGGUUCGUCAAGUCCUGGGUGAAAUCCCCCGGCUCAACUGGGGAACUGCACAGGAAACUAGCGGGCUUGAGUUCGGGAGAGGGAAGCGGAAUUCCGGGUGUAGCGGUGAAAUGCGUAGAUAUCCGGAGGAACACAGGUGGCGAAGGGGGUUGCUGGGCUGACACUGACGCUGAGGCGCGAAAGCUAGGGGAGCGAACGGG